Long non-coding RNA from Cervus elaphus (red deer), 2858 nucleotides. RefSeq lists it as uncharacterized. The record is from RefSeq and is a predicted model, not a curated record. The transcript has 3 exons. Lineage: Eukaryota; Metazoa; Chordata; Mammalia; Artiodactyla; Cervidae.
GGCUUCCGUCCUGGCUGGCGUGUCUUUUGACUUGUCCCGUUUCCACCCUUUGGUUCCAGGUAGUGCCAUGAGCCAAUAUGUGCUCCCCUUUGACUUCUGUUUCCUUUGCUUCCUUCCCAGAAACGCCCAUCUCCCAAGCCUCCCCACUCAGCAGGUGCUCAUUUAGUACCUUUCAUUUUUUUUAGGAAUCUGUUUUCCCUUCUCCUUUCUUGGCUGAGUGUAUCCGCACCUUGUGUGUCCUGGGAUCUGUGCAGACCAAGGUCUGCUUCUCCUGGCUCUUUUUUUUUUUUUUUGCCUGUGGGCAUUGUAGUUCUAAGUCCUAUUUCACCUUUUAUUUAACAUUUCUUUCUCUUUUUUCUCAUCUGCCCCUUCUUUUCACAUUUGCCCUGUCCUCAUCCCUACCUCCCACCCCCAUCUAAAAACUAGAGAAUUUAGACAUAUUCUAACUAGGAAACUUGUGAGUCUGCCAACUGGAGAAGUUAAUGAAGUUGAAGUCUAACAACUAGAAGGGGAGGAUACAGCAGGGAAGGGGUGUCCUGACUUCCCCCGGCAUCAUUUGUGAACUGGCCACCCUCUGGGUGGGAUGGAGACCCAGAGGUGCUGAGAGGCUGACACAGGCACGUGCUGGAGACAUCGCGUGAUGAGCACGGCUGUUUUUCUUUUCCCUUAAUGUUGCAAGUUAGUUUGGUUCACAUACCUCCCUUGAGAAAUGAAGGGAAGCUCCUGGGACUUGAUUAGCACAUGUGUCCGCGUCCUCUGGGCUGGGCACUGAUGAAGCAGAAUGUGGGCUCUUGGCACGGUCCCUGGACAGCCGGUAGGGCCAGAAGGAGGGGUACGGGUUCUCCCCGACCUGUAACAUCCUCAGAGAGGAACGGGAGCGCACUCUGAGCCUAGGCAAGGUUGUAACGCAGGUCCCAAAGGGCUGGGAAUGCAGUGCUAGGGAACAUGAAAGUGGACUCAGAAGAGCUCGGACACUUGGGUUCAGGCCACGACUUCACGCAAGAUGCUGACACCCGGAGACGUGAAGAAUGUGGGUGUCCCCUGUCUCGGUUGUGACUGUUGGCUGUGACUCCAGAACUAUCAUGGAUCAUGGAGUAGAAGCUUCGUGUUGAGAAUGGCAGAGCAUCUAGAGAAAAGGAAGGAACCUGGCUGACCGUGAGCUGCCCUCCUAGCCCUAUACUGGUUACUUCCAGACUUUAUUUACCUUUAUAACUUGUUACAUCCACUAUUAUUUUAGGUUUUUUGUGUCAGAGAGCCGCACUUCGCUGUUGAGAGUCCCUGUCGCUUUGACAUAGUCCAUGUGCCAAAGGGAAGCCGAUACUAUCUCUAAAUCUAGGGGUGGCUCGUAUGAUUUAUUUAAUACCAUCAUCCCUGCCCACAGUUGAUACAGGGAUGGGCGUGGGCCCCAUUUUGGACCAGUGAGGCUCGAGGGGAAUUUUGUUGGAGUGUCUGGGAAAGUUCUUUGUCCUUUUAGGAGAGUUUCUUAAAGUAGAAAUCCUGUUUCUCUUCUGCUGGAUGUUUUUGUGUAUGGCUGAAAUUGUUGCAGCUAUCUCAUGACCAGCCUGAGGAUGAAGCUGCACGUGGAAGAGAGCAGAGCCAAGAGAGUCAUGGGGACACUGAACUUGAGCCAAGUCAACUGUGAAGCCAGCCCUGCAUCUGGACUUCAGUCAUGUCAAUAAUUUUCCUUAUCGUUUAAGUCAAAAAUAGAUCCAAAUUGCUUACAAGAAUAGCAAAAUGGCUAAAAGUAUGAGCUCUAGAGUGAGAUGACCAGGGUGUGAAAUCCCAAGCAUACCAUUUCUUAGCUAUAAUAUGUGGAUAAUAAUAUUACUAAGCUGAAGUAAUCCAUGUAUUAGAUUUAGCACAAGCUGACAUAGAAAGCACUUAGAAAUGCCAUUAUUAUUAGUAUUUCAAACUGGUGAGAAAAGUGUAAGCUGUUCAAAAAAUCAUGUGAGAAUGAACAGCUAGCCACUUAAAGAAAAGAAAAAUGCCAUUCUAAUAAACAGAUUCAAAUUAUAUUAGGCAGUACUUUGUGAAAACUAAAAGAAUACAGUAUGGAUGAAUAUAUAAUCUCAAGGUAAGAGAUACUUUUAAAGCAUGAACUCAAAGGCAUAUGCUCUAAAGGAAGAGAUAAAGAGAUCUGAAUAUAUGAGAUUUAAACAGCGUCAGUGUACUCAAAAUGCUCACCACUGCCUCCCUACACAGAUCCCCUUCAAAAAGGUUUUGCAUUUCCAUCCACAGAAGAUCAGGUCAGUGGUGGUUAAUGUGCACAAUGGCUUGAACACUCAUCAGGUCUCUCUCAAGAAACUGAAAUAAGCAACUCUAGGAUUCUAAUUAGCUGCUGUGAACUUUGAACUAAAACUUUAUAUAAGACUUGGACUUGAGUAACCAUUUACAGUCAUGGAAAGGGCUAAGUAAACAGACAAAAAAAAUAGGCAGCCACAUGGAGGAGACAAAGAAAAUAAGCAUUAAAAUUGGAGCUAAAUAAGAGCUAAAGUUUAUUUAGCUCUUUUAUAUAAUUUAAAGUCUCAAGGCUAAGUCAUUGCCUACAGUUGCAGAGUUGGAGAACUAGAAUUCAAAAUUUGAUUCUAGUGGCUCACACACAUGAUGAUGUUUGCUCUAUAGAAGUCAUUGUUCUUUAUAUGAGUGUUUCUUAGGAGCCAUGCGUCAAAUCCAACCUUUCCUGGAGUGGGUGAAGAUUCUCUCUACUUGACAGUUAAGCCCCAAAUAGGCAAAAUUUAUGAAAAGCAGAAAUAUUUACACUUUUAAGCUGACAGCUGCUGUGAAAGUGCUGCACUUAAUAGGCCAGCAAAUUUGGAAAACUCAGCAGUGGCCCCUGGACUGGAAAAGGUCAGUUUUCA